GGGUUGUGAGGUUAAGCGACUAAGCGUACACGGUGGAUGCCCUGGCAGUCAGAGGCGAUGAAGGGCGUGCUAAUCUGCGAUAAGCGCCGGUAAGGUGAUAUGAACCGUUAUAACCGGCGAUACCCGAAUGGGGAAACCCAGUGUGACUCGUCACACUAUCAUUAACUGAAUCCAUAGGUUAAUGAGGCGAACCGGGGGAACUGAAACAUCUAAGUACCCCGAGGAAAAGAAAUCAACCGAGAUUCCCCCAGUAGCGGCGAGCGAACGGGGAGGAGCCCAGAGCCUGAAUCAGCAUGUGUGUUAGUGGAAGCGUCUGGAAAGGCGCGCGAUACAGGGUGACAGCCCCGUACACAAAAGCGCAUGUGCUGUGAGCUCGAUGAGUAGGGCGGGACACGUGGUAUCCUGUCUGAAUAUGGGGGGACCAUCCUCCAAGGCUAAAUACUCCUGACUGACCGAUAGUGAACCAGUACCGUGAGGGAAAGGCGAAAAGAACCCCGGCGAGGGGAGUGAAAAAGAACCUGAAACCGUGUACGUACAAGCAGUGGGAGCACAGGUUUACCUGUGUGACUGCGUACCUUUUGUAUAAUGGGUCAGCGACUUAUAUUCUGUAGCAAGGUUAACCGAAUAGGGGAGCCGGAGGGAAACCGAGUCUUAACUGGGCGUUAAGUUGCAGGGUAUAGACCCGAAACCCGGUGAUCUAGCCAUGGGCAGGUUGAAGGUUGGGUAACACUAACUGGAGGACCGAACCGACUAAUGUUGAAAAAUUAGCGGAUGACCUGUGGCUGGGGGUGAAAGGCCAAUCAAACCGGGAGAUAGCUGGUUCUCCCCGAAAGCUAUUUAGGUAGCGCCUCGUGAAUUCAUCUCCGGGGGUAGAGCACUGUUUCGGCUAGGGGGCCAUCCCGGCUUACCAACCCGAUGCAAACUGCGAAUACCGGAGAAUGUUAUCACGGGAGACACACGGCGGGUGCUAACGUCCGUCGUGAAGAGGGAAACAACCCAGACCGCCAGCUAAGGUCCCAAAGUCAUGGUUAAGUGGGAAACGAUGUGGGAAGGCCCAGACAGCCAGGAUGUUGGCUUAGAAGCAGCCAUCAUUUAAAGAAAGCGUAAUAGCUCACUGGUCGAGUCGGCCUGCGCGGAAGAUGUAACGGGGCUAAACCAUGCACCGAAGCUGCGGCAGCGACACUGUGUGUUGUUGGGUAGGGGAGCGUUCUGUAAGCCUG
Molecule: ribosomal RNA, 1220 nt
Filed under: Salmonella enterica subsp. enterica
Lineage: Bacteria; Pseudomonadati; Pseudomonadota; Gammaproteobacteria; Enterobacterales; Enterobacteriaceae
Description: bacterial LSU rRNA
Rfam family: Bacterial large subunit ribosomal RNA
Source: RNAcentral